GGAAAGAUGGCCGAGUGGUCGAUGGCGCUGCACUCGAAAUGCAGUAUACGGGCGACCGUAUCUAGGGUUCGAAUCCCUAUCUUUCCGCCA
Molecule: transfer RNA, 90 nt
Filed under: Bacteroidales bacterium
Lineage: Bacteria; Pseudomonadati; Bacteroidota; Bacteroidia; Bacteroidales
Also listed under: 1 other name
Description: tRNA-Ser
Rfam family: tRNA
About the family: Transfer RNA (tRNA) molecules are approximately 80 nucleotides in length. Their secondary structure includes four short double-helical elements and three loops (D, anti-codon, and T loops).
Source: RNAcentral